Molecule: ribosomal RNA, 501 nt
Filed under: uncultured bacterium
Lineage: Bacteria
Description: partial 16S ribosomal RNA
Rfam family: Bacterial small subunit ribosomal RNA
Source: RNAcentral
AUUGAACGCUGGCGGCAUGCCUUACACAUGCAAGUCGAACGGCAGCACGGGUGCUUGCACCUGGUGACGAGUGGCGAACGGGUGAGUAAUACAUCGGAACGUACCUUAUCGUGGGGGAUAACGCAGCGAAAGCUGUGCUAAUACCGCAUACGCCCUGAGGGGGAAAGCGGGGGAUCGAAAGACCUCGCGCGAUUAGAGCGGCCGAUGCCUGAUUAGCUUGUUGGUGGGGUAAAAGCCCACCAAGGCGACGAUCAGUAGCUGGUCUGAGAGGACGAUCAGCCACACUGGGACUGGGACCCGGCCCAGACUCCUACGGGAGGCAGCAGUGGGGAAUUAUGGACAAUGGGGGCAACCCUGAUCCAGCAAUGCCGCGUGAGUGAAGAAGGCCUUCGGGUUGUAAAGCUCUUUUGUCAGGGAAGAAACACCGGCUCUAACACAGUCCGGGAAUGACGGUACCUGAAGAAUAAGCACCGGCUAACUACGUGCCAGCAGCCGCCGUAA